RNAcentral lists this ribosomal RNA (177 nucleotides) under Phanerochaete sp. CUT3. RNAcentral describes it as "5.8S ribosomal RNA". The stretch from base 4 to 157 matches the Rfam family "5.8S ribosomal RNA". From Rfam's summary of the family: 5.8S ribosomal RNA (5.8S rRNA) is a component of the large subunit of the eukaryotic ribosome. It is transcribed by RNA polymerase I as part of the 45S precursor that also contains 18S and 28S rRNA. Functionally, it is thought that 5.8S rRNA may be involved in ribosome translocation. Lineage: Eukaryota; Fungi; Basidiomycota; Agaricomycetes; Polyporales; Phanerochaetaceae. The record is from RNAcentral.
UACAACUUUCAGCAACGGAUCUCUUGGCUCUCGCAUCGAUGAAGAACGCAGCGAAAUGCGAUAAGUAAUGUGAAUUGCAGAAUUCAGUGAAUCAUCGAAUCUUUGAACGCACCUUGCGCUCCCUGGUAUUCCGGGGAGCAUGCCUGUUUGAGUGUCAUGGUAUUCUCAUCCUUCAUA